Long non-coding RNA from Homo sapiens (human), 724 nucleotides. RefSeq lists it as uncharacterized. The record is from RefSeq and is a predicted model, not a curated record. Lineage: Eukaryota; Metazoa; Chordata; Mammalia; Primates; Hominidae. The transcript is spliced from 2 exons.
GCCAAGAGAGGAGGGAGAGGCUACACUGGGUUGGGGUGGAGCAUGAAAGGCAUGAGGAAGGAGGUGGCAUUUGAAGUGGGCCUUGAAAGGCGGUGGUCAUUUGUCAGGUGGAGAUGGGAAAGGAGGACCUUCCAGGGAAAAGGAGCCGCCUCAGCAAAGGUGCAGGGGAGAGAAAGUAAUUAUUCCGGGUUGCACACUGCACCCAUGUGCUUACAGAGUCUACUCAACUCUUGGAUCUGGGCUCAGGCCUGACCAAUCAGAACAGUACAUUCCUGUGAUCUUAGUAAAGGUUGGAUAUCUAACCCAAUAAAAGCUUGCAAAAGGCGGAAAAACCUUUGCUGGAGCUGCUGGGAGAGAGGGAAAUGCUCUUUCUCGCUGGACUGGAAUUGGGGAUGAUGUGGAAGGAUGAAUGACUGCUAGAGCUGUUGCUGCCAUCUGCCUGCAUGGGAGAGCAUGUCUGACAACAAAACCAAUACCAAUACACAGGAAGUGAAGCCAAAGGCUGGAGAGAGACCAGCUCCAGGUGACAACAUUGGAGCCCCAGAAUCCGCCCAAAUCUUCUUUUAUUUAAGGAUUGGGUAUUCUUUCACUUGCAACUGAAAGAAGGGUAACCAAUAUCCACUGUCUGACAUAGCAGAAGAAACUGGCUCAGUAGGCAUCUCCUGCAGCCUCCAGCCCAGCUGUCUGGAUGUGAUGGUUUAGUAAAAGAACAGUAACUCCCUCA